Molecule: ribosomal RNA, 468 nt
Filed under: uncultured bacterium
Lineage: Bacteria
Description: partial 16S ribosomal RNA
Rfam family: Bacterial small subunit ribosomal RNA
Source: RNAcentral
GACGAACGCUGACGGCGUGCUUAACACAUGCAAGUCGAACGGAAAGGCACUGCUUUUGUGGGGUGCUCGAUUGGCGAACGGGUGAGUAACACGUGAGUAACCUGCCCUUGACUUUGGGAUAACUUCAGGAAACUGGGGCUAAUACCCGAUAGGAGCUCCUGCUGCAUGGUGGGGUUUAGAAAGUUUCGGCGGUUGGGGAUGGACUCGCGGCUUAUCAGCUGGUUGGUGGGGUAGUGGCUUACGAAGGCUUUGACGGGUAGCCGGCCUGAGAGGGUGACCGGCCACAUUGGGACUGAGAUACGGACCAGACUCCUACGGGAGGCAGCAGUGGGGAAUAUUGCACAAUGGGCGGAAGCCUGAUGCAGCAACGCCGCGUGCGGGAUGACGGCCUUCGGGUUGUAAACCGCUUUCGCCUGUGACGAAGCGUGAGUGACGGUAAUGGGUAAAGAAGCACCGGCUAACUACGUG